RNAcentral lists this ribosomal RNA (495 nucleotides) under uncultured bacterium. RNAcentral's name for it is "bacterial SSU rRNA". It matches the Rfam family "Bacterial small subunit ribosomal RNA", at positions 56 to 530 of the family's 1533-position model. The record is from RNAcentral.
UGCAGUCGAGCGGACUUGAAGGAGUGCUUGCACUCCUGAGNAGUUAGCGGCGGACGGGUGAGUAACACGUAGGCAACCUGCCCUCAAGACUGGGAUAACUACCGGAAACGGUAGCUAAUACCGGAUAAUUUAUUACAUAGCAUUAUGUNAUAAUGAAAGACGGAGCAAUCUGUCACUUGGGGAUGGGCCUGCGGCGCAUUAGCUAGUUGGUGGGGUAANGGCCCACCAAGGCGACGAUGCGUAGCCGACCUGAGAGGGUGAACGGCCACACUGGGACUGAGACACGGCCCAGACUCCUACGGGAGGCAGCAGUAGGGAAUCUUCCGCAAUGGGCGAAAGCCUGACGGAGCAACGCCGCGUGAGUGAUGAAGGUUUUCGGAUCGUAAAGCUCUGUUGCCAAGGAAGAACGUCUCAUAGAGUAACUGCUAUGAGAGUGACGGUACUUGAGAAGAAAGCCCCGGCUAACUACGUGCCAGCAGCCGCGGUAAUACGUAG